UACAGAGGAGCCAAGCGUUGUCCGGAUUGACUGGGCGUAAAGCGCACGCAGGCGGUGGUGCGCGUGGGGUGUGAAAUCUGGCCGCUUAACGGCCAGGCGCCAUCCCAUACGGCACGACUGGAGGGCUGCAGAGGUCGAUGGAAUUGCCGGUGUAGUGGUGAAAUGCGUAGAGAUCGGCAGGAACACCCAGGGGGAAACCAGUCGACUGGGCAGCACCUGACGCUGAGGUGCGAGAGCGUGGGGAGCGAACGGG
This 253-nucleotide ribosomal RNA is filed under the name uncultured bacterium. RNAcentral describes it as "partial 16S ribosomal RNA". It matches the Rfam family "Bacterial small subunit ribosomal RNA", at positions 524 to 776 of the family's 1533-position model. The record is from RNAcentral.